UUGUAAGUUUAUCGUUCUUUCUCGCGUUAAUUCGUGUCUGGUUAGCCAGGGAGAGAUAAAAGUUUUCGAACUAAAUCAAUUGUUGUGAACGGGGUUUCCCAUUGAUAACAAAAAACAUGGCGGCUAUUUGUUAGUAGGUCCCGCUUCAAGAUUUCAAAAUCAUCAAACGUUCCAGAAAUGCAAUAACUGUAAAAACUUUCAACGCUGUUUUGUUCAUAUGAAUGGGAACAAACACAUGUGUAUGCAUUUUUGAAUAUAAAAGUUUUGUGGCGGUACUUGGCAAGCAAUUUUCUCACACUUUACUGUGGCUAUUGGUGCUGAUCUUGAACUAAAGGUAAAUGGAACAGCAUGGAUGUGGAUUUUUAGACACAAGGAAGCUGAAUUUAACUUUUAAUGAAUAAUUUAAAU
Molecule: long non-coding RNA, 408 nt
Organism: Physella acuta
Lineage: Eukaryota; Metazoa; Mollusca; Gastropoda; Physidae
Source: RefSeq, a predicted model, not a curated record